RNAcentral lists this ribosomal RNA (389 nucleotides) under Prymnesiophyceae sp. RNAcentral describes it as "partial small subunit ribosomal RNA". It matches the Rfam family "Eukaryotic small subunit ribosomal RNA", at positions 582 to 975 of the family's 1831-position model. The record is from RNAcentral. Lineage: Eukaryota; Haptophyta.
AUUCCAGCUCCAAUAGCGUAUAUUAAAGUUGUUGCAGUUAAAACGCUCGUAGUCGGAUUUCGGGGCGGGGCUUCCGGUCUGCCGUUGGGUAUGCACUGGAUGCCGCGUCCUUCCUUCCGGAGACCGUUCCUACUCUUAACUGAGCGGGGUCGGGAGACGGAUCUUUUACUUUGAAAAAAUCAGAGUGUUUCAAGCAGGCAUAUCGCUUUUGCAUGGAUUAGCAUGGGAUAAUGAAAUAGGACUUUGGUGCUAUUUUGUUGGUUUCGAACACCGAAGUAAUGAUUAACAGGGACAGUCAGGGGCACUAAUAUUCCGUUGAGAGAGGUGAAAUUCUUAGACCAGCGGAAGAUUAACCACUGCGAAAGCAUUUGCCAGGGAUGUUUUCAUCA